This 253-nucleotide ribosomal RNA is filed under the name uncultured bacterium. Its description in RNAcentral is "partial small subunit ribosomal RNA". It matches the Rfam family "Bacterial small subunit ribosomal RNA", at positions 27 to 287 of the family's 1533-position model. The record is from RNAcentral.
GGGACGAACGCUGGCGGCGUGCAUAACACAUGCAAGUCAAGGGGACCCGCAAGGGUAACCGGCGAACGGGUGCGUAACACGUGAGCAACCUACCUCUGUGUGGGGCAUAGCCGGCCUAACGGCCGGGUAAUUCCGCAUACGAUCCUUGGAGGACAUCCUCUGGGGAGGAAACGCGCAAGCGGCACGGAGAGGGGCUCGCGGCCUAUCAGCUAGUUGGUGAGGGCAAUGGCCCACCAAGGCGACGACGGGUAGC